RNAcentral lists this ribosomal RNA (466 nucleotides) under uncultured bacterium. RNAcentral's name for it is "partial 16S ribosomal RNA". It matches the Rfam family "Bacterial small subunit ribosomal RNA", at positions 28 to 507 of the family's 1533-position model. The record is from RNAcentral.
GACGAACGCUGGCGGUGUGCUUAACACAUGCCAGUCGAACGGUAAGGCCCUUUCGGGGGUACACGAGUGGCGAACGGGUGAGUAACACGUGAGUAACCUGCCCUCAUCUCUGGGAUAACAGUCGGAAACGGUUGCUAAUACUGGAUAUGAGCUUGCAAGGCAUCUUGUGGGUUGGAAAGAUUUUUUUGGUUGGGGAUGGACUCGCGGCCUAUCAGCUUGUUGGUGAGGUAGUGGCUCACCAAGGCUUCGACGGGUAGCCGGCCUGAGAGGGCGACCGGCCACAUUGGGACUGAGAUACGGCCCAAACUCCUACGGGAGGCAGCAGUGGGGAAUAUUGCACAAUGGACGGAAGUCUGAUGCAGCAACGCCGCGUGCGGGAGGACGGCCUUCGGGUUGUAAACCGCUUUCAAUUGUGACGAAGCUUUUUGUGACGGUAGCAGUAGAAGAAGCACCGGCUAACUACGUG